GACGAAGGAUGCAAGCGUUAUCCGGAUUCAUUGGGUUUAAAGGGUGCGUAGGCGGCCCGGUAAGUCAGUGGUGAAAUCUCCUUGCUUAACAAGGAAACUGCCAUUGAUGCUGCUGGGCUUGAGUACAGAUGCUGUGGGCGGAAUAUGACAUGUAGUGGUGAAAUACAUAGAGAUGUCAUAGAACACCGAUUGCGAAGGCAGCUCACAAAACUGUAACUGACGCUGAGGCACGAAAGUGCGGGGAUCAAACAGG
This 253-nucleotide ribosomal RNA is filed under the name uncultured bacterium. Its description in RNAcentral is "partial 16S ribosomal RNA". It matches the Rfam family "Bacterial small subunit ribosomal RNA", at positions 524 to 776 of the family's 1533-position model. The record is from RNAcentral.